Grammomys surdaster is the source of this 427-nucleotide long non-coding RNA. RefSeq lists it as uncharacterized. The transcript is spliced from 3 exons. The record is from RefSeq and is a predicted model, not a curated record. Lineage: Eukaryota; Metazoa; Chordata; Mammalia; Rodentia; Muridae.
AAGCAAUACUAAUUGGACUCAGAGGGUUAUUAAAAUAAUUUUAAAAGGGUCAGACAUGAUAGUGCAGGACUUUAAUCCCAGCACUCAACAGGCAGAAGCAAGACGAUCUCUAUGAGUUGGAAGUCAACCUGUCCUAACUUGAAAAUCCCAGGCCAACCAGGACUAUACUUUGAGACCCUGUGUCAAAAUGAAUGAAUGAAAAUAAAAAGACCUGAACUGAAGAGUGUUCAAGGUUGGCAAGCAGAAUGACCUGCCUAAUGACAAAGGGCACAACACCGUACCAUACAUCAGCCACACGGUGACAAGCUGGAGACUGUACCACACAUUGGCCACAAGGCUGUACAACCUGGAGACUUGAGUUCAAUACCUGGAACCCCCACAUCAAGGGGAAGGAGAAGACUGACGUCACAGUUCAAUACCUGGAACC